GAGUUUGAUCCUGGCUCAGGACGAACGCUGGCGGCGCGCCUAACACAUGCAAGUCGAACGAGAGAGAAGGAGCUUGCUUCUUCGAUCGAGUGGCGAACGGGUGAGUAACGCGUGAGGAACCUGCCUCAAAGAGGGGGACAACAGUUGGAAACGACUGCUAAUACUGCAUAAGCCCACGGGUCGGCAUCGACCAGAGGGAAAAGGAGCAAUCCGCUUUGAGAUGGCCUCGCGUCCGAUUAGCUAGUUGGUGAGGUAAUGGCCCACCAAGGCGACGAUCGGUAGCCGGACUGAGAGGUUGAACGGCCACAUUGGGACUGAGACACGGCCCAGACUCCUACGGGAGGCAGCAGUGGGGGAUAUUGCACAAUGGGGGAAACCCUGAUGCAGCAACGCCGCGUGAGUGAUGACGGCCUUCGGGUUGUAAAGCUCUGUCUUCAGGGACGAUAAUGACGGUACCUGAGGAGGAAGCCACGGCUAACUACGUGCCAGCCGCCGCGGUAAUUC
This 504-nucleotide ribosomal RNA is filed under the name uncultured bacterium. Its description in RNAcentral is "bacterial SSU rRNA". It matches the Rfam family "Bacterial small subunit ribosomal RNA", at positions 9 to 526 of the family's 1533-position model. The record is from RNAcentral.